GACGUAGGGCGCGAGCGUUGUCCGGAUUUAUUGGGCGUAAAGAGCUCGUAGGCGGCUCGUUGCGUCGGCUGUGAAAACCCGCAGCUCAACUGUGGGCUUGCAGCUGAUACGGGCGGGCUUGGAUUCGGUAGGGGAGACUGGAAUUCCUGGUGUAGCGGUGAAAUGCGCAGAUAUCAGGAGGAACACCGGUGGCGAAGGCGGGUCUCUGGGCCGAUACUGACGCUGAGGAGCGAAAGCGUGGGGAGCGAACAGG
This 253-nucleotide ribosomal RNA is filed under the name uncultured bacterium. Its description in RNAcentral is "partial 16S ribosomal RNA". It matches the Rfam family "Bacterial small subunit ribosomal RNA", at positions 524 to 776 of the family's 1533-position model. The record is from RNAcentral.